RNAcentral lists this ribosomal RNA (253 nucleotides) under uncultured bacterium. RNAcentral describes it as "partial 16S ribosomal RNA". It matches the Rfam family "Bacterial small subunit ribosomal RNA", at positions 524 to 776 of the family's 1533-position model. The record is from RNAcentral.
UACGAAGGGGGCUAGCGUUGCUCGGAAUCACUGGGCGUAAAGGGUGCGUAGGCGGGUUUUUAAGUCAGGGGUGAAAUCCUGGAGCUCAACUCCAGAACUGCCUUUGAUACUGAAGAUCUCGAGUCCGGGAGAGGUGAGUGGAACUGCGAGUGUAGAGGUGAAAUUCGUAGAUAUUCGCAAGAACACCAGUGGCGAAGGCGGCUCACUGGCCCGAUACUGACGCUGAGGUGCGAAAGCGUGGGGAGCAAACAGG